UUGAUCUUAGUUGCCAGCAUUCAGUUGGGCACUCUAAGGUGACUGCCGGUGACAAACCGGAGGAAGGUGGGGAUGACGUCAAAUCAUCAUGCCCCUUAUGACCUGGGCUACACACGUGCUACAAUGGACAGAACAAAGGGCAGCGAAACCGCGAGGUUAAGCCAAUCCCACAAAUCUGUUCUCAGUUCGGAUCGCAGUCUGCAACUCGACUGCGUGAAGCUGGAAUCGCUAGUAAUCGCGGAUCAGCAUGCCGCG
Molecule: ribosomal RNA, 255 nt
Filed under: Bacillus sp. B38
Lineage: Bacteria; Bacillati; Bacillota; Bacilli; Caryophanales; Bacillaceae
Also listed under: 4 other names
Description: partial 16S ribosomal RNA
Rfam family: Bacterial small subunit ribosomal RNA
Source: RNAcentral